Drosophila mojavensis is the source of this 1046-nucleotide long non-coding RNA. RefSeq lists it as uncharacterized. The record is from RefSeq and is a predicted model, not a curated record. Lineage: Eukaryota; Metazoa; Arthropoda; Insecta; Diptera; Drosophilidae. The transcript is spliced from 2 exons.
AUCAGCAGUUUAGCAGCAAUUAGCAUUUAUUGCUUAAGCAAACUCAUUGUGUGCAGAGUGCAAGCUCUGGCCUGGCUUGUCAGCUGCCUUUUGCACUUGUCUGCCCUUGGCUUCGCCGCGUUUGACUAUUUAUAGCGUCAGCUUGUUAGCGCUGUUGGCCAAGUAAAGUAAGGCAAUCGGCCUGAUUGGUAAUUGGGAAUUCAUCAUAAAUAAAUAAUAUCCAAGUGGGUGGAAAACAGCGAAUUGCAGCGAAUUCGUUUUUGCGCAACCAUUAGAUUAAUAAUAUUUGAGUUGUGUCGGUAACUUGUCUAAAUUGUAUGUAGCUCGAGGAUACGAGGCACGCAAACACACAGUGGCAGAUGUGGAGGAAGAUGGAGGUAUGUGCAUAUAUAUAGCUUUAAGUGGAAACAAGAGACAAACCGACAGGUAAACUGAAAAACAGCCGGCAGACAUAGCAGAGCGCAAAAUAAACACGCUGCAAACGAGAGACAAGUCGAGGCAGUUAGGCAACUGGCACACGGGACGAUAAUGGGUCGUCGCAAUAGUACAUGCGAAGGAUAAGGGUAAGGCAAAGGGCAGCGGUAAGGAGGUCUGAGACUAAGGAAUAGCACAACGCAGGACAACAGGCAGGCCGUCAGCUGAAGCUCAGGCUCAAGCACGAGACCAAGACCAAGACCGAGACACUGUUUGGCUUACCUUGGCAGUCAAUGUCAGAGCAAUUGAGUCAAGCCAUGGGCAUAGCUGGAGUACACACACACACGCACACACAUACUUAUAUAUACAUACAUAUACAUUUAUAUGUCUACAUUUUCUGAAGACAGUCGUCACACUCGUCUUUUACUUUGUGGCAACAGCACCUACAUACGUGAAUGCCAAAUGACCAGGUCACACAUGGGACUGACGGAAGGACUGACUGACUAACUGAGUGAUGGACUAAGUGACUCUGUGAGCACACUGUGGGGAUCAAGCUGUAAGCUGUAAGCCUGCUUUCACAUACCCUUGCAAUACGAAUGCAGAUAUUAAAUGUAAACAGAUUUACAAUUUAA